Molecule: ribosomal RNA, 496 nt
Filed under: uncultured bacterium
Lineage: Bacteria
Description: bacterial SSU rRNA
Rfam family: Bacterial small subunit ribosomal RNA
Source: RNAcentral
GACGAACGCUGGCGGCGUGCCUAAUACAUGCAAGUCGAACGCAUUUUCUUUCACCGUAGCUUGCUACACCGAAAGAAAAUGAGUGGCGAACGGGUGAGUAACACGUGGGUAACCUGCCCAUCAGCGGGGGAUAACACUUGGAAACAGGUGCUAAUACCGCAUAAUUCCAUUUACCGCAUGGUAGAUGGGUGAAAGGCGCUUUUGCGUCACUGAUGGAUGGACCCGCGGUGCAUUAGCUAGUUGGUGGGGUAACGGCCUACCAAGACUGCGAUGCAUAGCCGACCUGAGAGGGUGAUCGGCCACACUGGGACUGAGACACGGCCCAGACUCCUACAGGAGGCAGCAGUAGGGAAUCUUCGGCAAUGGACGCAAGUCUGACCGAGCAACGCCGCGUGAGUGAAGAGGGUUUUCGGAUCGUAAAACUCUGUUGUUAGAGAAGAACAAGGAUGAGAGUGGAAAGUUCAUCCCUUGACGGUAUCUAACCAGAAAGCCACGG